RNAcentral lists this ribosomal RNA (253 nucleotides) under uncultured bacterium. RNAcentral's name for it is "partial 16S ribosomal RNA". It matches the Rfam family "Bacterial small subunit ribosomal RNA", at positions 524 to 776 of the family's 1533-position model. The record is from RNAcentral.
UACAGAGGGGGCGAGCGUUGUUCGGAAUUACUGGGCGUAAAGGGCGCGUAGGCGGCCGACUAAGUCAGACGUGAAAUCCCCCGGCUCAACCGGGGAACUGCGUCUGAUACUGGACGGCUUGAAUCCGGGAGAGGGAUGUGGAAUUCCAGGUGUAGCGGUGAAAUGCGUAGAUAUCUGGAGGAACACCGGUGGCGAAGGCGGCAUCCUGGACCGGUAUUGACGCUGAGGCGCGAAAGCCAGGGGAGCAAACGGG